UAUUUGGUGUUCGGGAAGAAAGGGUC
Molecule: non-coding RNA, 26 nt
Filed under: Rattus norvegicus (Norway rat)
Lineage: Eukaryota; Metazoa; Chordata; Mammalia; Rodentia; Muridae
Source: RNAcentral